Molecule: ribosomal RNA, 449 nt
Filed under: uncultured bacterium
Lineage: Bacteria
Description: bacterial SSU rRNA
Rfam family: Bacterial small subunit ribosomal RNA
Source: RNAcentral
GUGGGGAAUAUUGGGCAAUGGGCGCAAGCCUGACCCAGCCACGCCGCGUGAGUGAUGAAGGCCUUCGGGUCGUAAAGCUCUGUGGGGAGGGACGAAACCUCGCAAGUGAAUAAUGCGCGAGCUGACGGUACCUCCUUAGCAAGCACCGGCUAACUCCGUGCCAGCAGCCGCGGUAAUACGGAGGGUGCAAACGUUGCUCGGAAUCAUUGGGCGUAAAGCGCACGUAGGCGGUUCGUCAAGUCGGGUGUGAAAGCCCUCGGCUCAACCGAGGAAGUGCAUCCGAAACUAGCGAGCUUGAGUACUGGAGAGGGUGACGGAAUUCCCGGUGUAGAGGUGAAAUUCGUAGAUAUCGGGAGGAACACCAGCGGCGAAGGCGGUCACCUGGACAGAUACUGACGCUGAGGUGCGAAAGCGUGGGGAGCAAACAGGAUUAGAAACCCUAGUAGUCC